UUUAGACAGGAUUGACAGAUUGAUAGCUCUUUCUCGAUUCCAUGGGUGGUGGUACAUGGCUGUUCUUAGUUGAUGGAGCGAUUCUUCAGGUUAAUUAUGAUGAUGAACGAGAUGCUGGCAUGCUAACUAGUUACACGACCCCUGAGCUAAAGACAGAGUGGCUCUAAUCACUGUGAGAAGCCCAAAUAAAAAUCAGUCUCCCAAAUAAGAAAAAUAAAUAGAUACAUAAAUAAGAAUGUCUUUAG
Molecule: non-coding RNA, 245 nt
Filed under: Tupaia belangeri chinensis (Chinese tree shrew)
Lineage: Eukaryota; Metazoa; Chordata; Mammalia; Scandentia; Tupaiidae
Description: Tupaia chinensis (Chinese tree shrew) Eukaryotic small subunit ribosomal RNA
Rfam family: Eukaryotic small subunit ribosomal RNA
Source: Rfam by way of RNAcentral